ACUGGGUGUGGUAGUACAAACAUAUGUAAUCUCAGCUACUGGGAGGUGGAAGCUGGCACACUUCUUGAGCUCAGAGUUCUAAGCUACAAUGGGCUACAUGAAUCAUGUGUCUGAAGUGAGUUCCACUUCAAUAUUUUGAGCCCUAGAAGCAGGGACCACUAGCUUGCCUGAGGAGUGGCAAACAGGCCCAGGUUGGAAACAGGAUAGGUCAAAGCUCCUAUGCCAGUCAGCAGUGGGAUUAGGCCUUGAAAGAUCUCUGCACUUCCAGCCUGGGCCAAAUGAGGGGACCUAGUCUUU
Molecule: non-coding RNA, 297 nt
Filed under: Phascolarctos cinereus (koala)
Lineage: Eukaryota; Metazoa; Chordata; Mammalia; Diprotodontia; Phascolarctidae
Source: RNAcentral